GAUCAUUACAGAAAUAGGAGAAGGUUGCUUAACUGCAAUCCUUUUCUUUCUACACAUGUGUUUUUCUUUUUUUUGAAAACUUUGCUUUGGUGGGCCCACGGCCUGCCAGAGAUUAAACUCAACCAAAUUUUUAUUUAAUUGUCAACUUGAUUAACUAAUAGUCAAAACUUUCAACAACGGAUCUCUUGGUUCUCGCAUCGAUGAAGAACGCAGCGAAAUGCGAUAAGUAAUAUGAAUUGCAGAUAUUCGUGAAUCAUCGAAUCUUUGAACGCACAUUGCGCCCUUUGGUAUUCCAAAGGGCAUGCCUGUUUGAGCGUCAUUUCUCCCUCAAACCUUCGGGUUUGGUGUUGAGCGAUACGCUGGGUUUGCUUGAAAGAAAGGCGGAGUAUAAACUAAUGGAUAGGUUUUUUUUUUCCACUCAUUGGUACAAACUCCAAACAUUCUUCCAAAUUCGACCUCAAAUCAGG
Molecule: unclassified non-coding RNA, 467 nt
Filed under: Lodderomyces metapsilosis
Lineage: Eukaryota; Fungi; Ascomycota; Pichiomycetes; Serinales; Debaryomycetaceae
Description: Candida metapsilosis sequence contains 18S rRNA gene, ITS1, 5.8S rRNA gene, ITS2, 28S rRNA gene
Rfam family: 5.8S ribosomal RNA (bases 166-319)
Source: RNAcentral